CAAUAGCGUAUAUUAAAGUUGUUGCAGUUAAAAAGCUCGUAGUUGGAUUUGUGGCGUACGGUGUGUUCCGGGCACUUGUUGUCUGAGUAACCUGCUGUUGCCAUCCUUGGGUGGAACCUGUGUGGCAUUAGGUUGUCGUGCAGGGGAUGCCCAUCAUUACUGUGAAAAAAUUAGAGUGUUCAAAGCAGGCUUAUGCCGUUGAAUAUAUUAGCAUGGAAUAAUGAGAUAGGACUUUUUUGCUAUUUUGUUGGUUUGCGCAAGAAGGUAAUGAUUAAUAGGGACAGUUGGGGGUAUUCGUAUUCCAUUGUCAGAGGUGAAAUUCUUGGAUUUUUGGAAGACGAACUACUGCGAAAGCAUUUACCAAGGAUGUUUUCAUUAA
RNAcentral lists this ribosomal RNA (379 nucleotides) under uncultured eukaryote. RNAcentral's name for it is "partial 18S ribosomal RNA". It matches the Rfam family "Eukaryotic small subunit ribosomal RNA", at positions 592 to 976 of the family's 1831-position model. The record is from RNAcentral.